RNAcentral lists this transfer RNA (70 nucleotides) under Scaptocoris castanea. Its description in RNAcentral is "tRNA-Met". Lineage: Eukaryota; Metazoa; Arthropoda; Insecta; Hemiptera; Cydnidae. The record is from RNAcentral.
GGAAAGGUAAGCUAAUUAAGCUACCAGGUUCAUACCCUGUUCAUGGAAGGAAUUAAUCUUCCCCCUUCCU